AAGGCCUUAACUUAAUAAAAGUAUCUGAUUUGCAGUCAGAAUAUGUGAGGUUAAAUCUUGCAGGUCUUA
RNAcentral lists this transfer RNA (69 nucleotides) under Barbus sp. CToL 051. Its description in RNAcentral is "tRNA-Ala". It matches the Rfam family "tRNA". Rfam says of the family: Transfer RNA (tRNA) molecules are approximately 80 nucleotides in length. Their secondary structure includes four short double-helical elements and three loops (D, anti-codon, and T loops). Further hydrogen bonds mediate the characteristic L-shaped molecular structure. tRNAs have two regions of fundamental functional importance: the anti-codon, which is responsible for specific mRNA codon recognition, and the 3' end, to which the tRNAs corresponding amino acid is attached (by aminoacyl-tRNA synthetases). tRNAs cope with the degeneracy of the genetic code in two manners: having more than one tRNA (with a specific anti-codon) for a particular amino acid; and 'wobble' base-pairing, i.e. permitting non-standard base-pairing at the 3rd anti-codon position. The record is from RNAcentral. Lineage: Eukaryota; Metazoa; Chordata; Actinopteri; Cypriniformes; Cyprinidae.